AGUUUACAAUAAUAAAAACUAGGAACAAGAUACUUAGAGAAAGAGAGAGUUCGAGGUCAUAUAUAGUGUGUACUCUAGGGUUUCCGAAUGUCCCCUUCUGCUCUUUUCUUCUCUCUCUUUAUAGUCACUCUCACCCCCAUUGUUUGUUAGCGAGAUCUUUUCAUGUUAUUAACAACUCCGAGAUUUUUGAUCCUAUUUUUUUGGAGAAUAUUCUUCUAAAAUCGACAUCGCUCUCUUUUUCCUUGCACAGGCUAUCAACGUCGCGUUCUUCCUGCCACCUCAUGAUCAUUCGCCGAUUAUCAUGGGUGAACUCCAUGUUGGUGACAAUGGACCGGGUCUCGUCUAAGCGCUUUGUAUUGUCGGGAUUUGGGCCCAACAGCUACUAUACAAUACCUUCAACACAAGACCUUUUAUGACCUUUUCUCCACCAGCAAACAAACAUCAUACCUUUUUUGUAACAAACAUUAUACUUAUUGUUAAAAAAAAAUAAACAGAGAUUAUUGUGUGAUUAGGAUGAGAGAAACAACAAUGACAAUAUAUCUAAAAUAUUUUCUACCUAAGCAAAAUCUUAAUGGAGCUUCUUCAAAGUUUGAUCAAACACUUUCCCAGUGUCUUUUAAAUUCCCAGUAUAGAGUAUGCUGACCUGAAAAACAGCCAAACCGGACUUGAAACAUCAUCCAUAUUGCAUAUGACUUGGAUGUAAAAAAAAAUACUAACCCUUUUUCUAAAAAAUACAAAUUGAGUUUUUCUUCUGGGGGAUCACGGUCAAAUGAUCACUCGGAGUAAUCUAAAACAUUACGCGACCAAAAUUGCUUGUGUGGAAGAAAUAAAGAGCAUCACAAGAAUUUGACUUGAAUAAAAGUAUAAGCGACGAAUAACAUGUUAACGUGACGAAAUAAAAUAUCAGUGUUUUUAAUCGAAGAUGUUUUGUAGAGUUUCAAACCUAAAAAGAAACGUUUCAAAAGGGAUGAUUGACACGAGUUGUUUUUAUAGAGCGGGCUUGGUAGUGUCAUGAUGACUGAUGAUGAACGGAGAACCGCUUGUCCUGCGUCACAAGUCUUAUUUGAAACUUAAUCUUAGCCGAUUGAGAUCUGGCUUGGUCGUGAAACAUCUUAUUUGCUAAAUAUGCGAAUAUAAACCAUUUCUUUUAGCAAACGGGUUUCACUUCAGUUUUGAUGCACAAUAGUUGAAGUAUCCACAUGUCCUAUUGGUAAACAAAAGACGGUUUAAUUUGAAACUCUUAUCAUCUCAACUAUACUAGCAUAGCAAUAUACCCGAAUAAUCAAGGUUGAAAUGGACCGGAGCAGGCUUUAAAAGGAUAAAACACUAAAGAUAGAGUUUACACAUGCACAUAAGGCACACAAGUUAAACGUGACUUUUAUUACAAAUUUACAACGAAAGACCUUGUGAAAUAAAGAGUUAAAGACACACAAUUAUGGACAACGAUAUCCUCAAAACACAACGAUUAUAAUUGUGGUUGAAUAAGAUGGACUAUAUUAAUAGAGAGUAAUUGGAUACAAUAGUUAUUGGAUACAAUAGUUACAACAGUUUACAAUAAUAAAAACUAGGAACAAGAUACUUAGAGAAAGAGAGAGUUCGAGGUCAUAUAUAGUGUGUACUCUAGGGUUUCCGAAUGUCCCCUUCUGCUCUUUUCUUCUCUCUCUUUAUAGUCACUCUCACCCCCAUUGUUUGUUAGCGAGAUCUUUUCAUGUUAUUAACAACUCCGAGAUUUUUGAUCCUAUUUUUUUGGAGAAUAUUCUUCUAAAAUCGACAUCGCUCUCUUUUUCCUUGCACAGGCUAUCAACGUCGCGUUCUUCCUGCCACCUCAUGAUCAUUCGCCGAUUAUCAUGGGUGAACUCCAUGUUGGUGACAAUGGACCGGGUCUCGUCUAAGCGCUUUGUAUUGUCGGGAUUUGGGCCCAACAGCUACUAUACAAUACCUUCAACACAAGACCUUUUAUGACCUUUUCUCCACCAGCAAACAAACAUCAUACCUUUUUUGUAACAAACAUUAUACUUAUUGUUAAAAAAAAAUAAACAGAGAUUAUUGUGUGAUUAGGAUGAGAGAAACAACAAU
This 2076-nucleotide long non-coding RNA is filed under the name Brassica napus (rape). RNAcentral's name for it is "long non-coding RNA (BNAP_LNC007764)". Lineage: Eukaryota; Viridiplantae; Streptophyta; Magnoliopsida; Brassicales; Brassicaceae. The record is from RNAcentral.